GACGAACGCUGGCGGCGUGCUUAACACAUGCAAGUCGAACGGAAAGGCCCUGCUUUUGUGGGGUGCUCGAGUGGCGAACGGGUGAGUAACACGUGAGUAACCUGCCCUUGACUUUGGGAUAACUUCAGGAAACUGGGGCUAAUACCGGAUAGGAGCUCCUGCUGCAUGGUGGGGGUUGGAAAGUUUCGGCGGUUGGGGAUGGACUCGCGGCUUAUCAGCUUGUUGGUGGGGUAGUGGCUUACCAAGGCUUUGACGGGUAGUCGGCCUGAGAGGGUGACCGGCCACAAUGGGACUGAGAGACGGCCCAGACUCCUACGGGAGGCAGCAGUGGGGAAUAUUGCACAAUGGGCGGAAGCCUGAUGCAGCAACGCCGCGUGCGGGAUGACGGCCUUCGGGUUGUAAACCGCUUUCGCCUGUGACGAAGCGUGAGUGACGGUAAUGGGUAAAGAAGCACCGGCUAACUACGUG
This 468-nucleotide ribosomal RNA is filed under the name uncultured bacterium. RNAcentral describes it as "partial 16S ribosomal RNA". It matches the Rfam family "Bacterial small subunit ribosomal RNA", at positions 28 to 507 of the family's 1533-position model. The record is from RNAcentral.